Long non-coding RNA from Alosa sapidissima (American shad), 165 nucleotides. RefSeq lists it as uncharacterized. The record is from RefSeq and is a predicted model, not a curated record. The transcript has 3 exons. NCBI's taxonomy places the organism in Eukaryota, Metazoa, Chordata, Actinopteri, Clupeiformes, Clupeidae.
CACACACACACACACACACACACACACACACACACGUGUGAUUAACUAACAUUGUGUGUGCACUGUUGAGAGAUUUUUAAGUAUUUUUUUAGAUUAGUUUUAAAGCUACUGAACAAGCCACAGCAUUUUAUAGUGUCUGGGAUGGUAUUCCAUUGGGUAAUGGCA